UAUGCAGAAAGAAAUAGGUCAAUAUUCUUAGGCAAGAAAGAAGUGACGAGGCAAAGGAAUUGGUUCGGUCAAACGACGUUUCGUUAAUAUCGAUUCUUGCCCGAGCCCAAACCCCGCUCUCUUAGUUAUGCACGCCACCGCGAUUUCUUCCUCCUCUUCCGCCACCAUCUGCCGCAGCUUUCCUCGUGGGUUCCAGCCUCGGCACCCACCUCGCCAUGGGUGUCACGGAAAUGUCCCUGUUAAUUUGAUAUGAUCAAGAGUUCGCCGGAGGCCAUACUGCAGAACUGCACGGUUACCAGCUCUGAAACCAUCUCCAUAUGCUGAUGCCGAAGAGGAUGAGGUGGAUGCAACAUUGUUGCCAGACCCUGAGAUGAUCUGAGAGUCCAGCCACAUGUGCGCCAGAACCUGACAGAUGCCUUCUUCAACUUCUUGGCUAAGAGAACGAUAUCCUGUAAGACAAUCAGAAGAUUAUUUAGUAAAAUUAAUAGAGAGCAAAACUGAACCAAUGCACAUGCUGUGAACUACAAUGUGAAAUGACAAGGGCUAUUUUGUACUUGAGAUUUCAAUGCCUUAGAUGAAUUAUGAAAUUUUUAUUCAUAAA
This is a long non-coding RNA of Musa acuminata AAA Group (dessert banana), 601 nucleotides long. RefSeq lists it as uncharacterized. Lineage: Eukaryota; Viridiplantae; Streptophyta; Magnoliopsida; Zingiberales; Musaceae. The record is from RefSeq and is a predicted model, not a curated record. The transcript is spliced from 3 exons.